Molecule: ribosomal RNA, 1104 nt
Filed under: uncultured bacterium
Lineage: Bacteria
Description: bacterial SSU rRNA
Rfam family: Bacterial small subunit ribosomal RNA
Source: RNAcentral
GAGGAAGGUCCCCCACAUUGGAACUGAGACACGGUCCAAACUCGUACGGGAGGCAGCAGUGAGGAAUAUUGGUCAAUGGAGGCAACUCUGAACCAGCCAAGUAGCGUGCAGGAUGACGGCCCUAUGGGUAGUAAACUGCUUUUAUGCGGGGAUAAAGGAGCCUACGUGUAGGCUUUUGCAGGUACCGCAUGAAUAAGGACCGGCUAAUUCCGUGCCAGCAGCCGCGGUAAUACGGAAGGUCCGGGCGUUAUCCGGAUUUAUUGGGUUUAGAGGGAGCGUAGGCGGUCUGUUAAGCGUGUUGUGAAAUGUAGGUGCUCAACAUCUGCACUGCAGCGCGAACUGGCGGACUUGAGUUGGCUGAAAGUAUGCGGAAUUCGUGGUGUAGCGGUGAAAUGCUUAGAUAUCACGAAGAACUCCGAUUGCGAAGGCAGCAUGCUGUAUCCUUACUGACGCUGAAGCUCGAAGGUGCGGGUAUCGAACAGGAUUAGAUACCCUGGUAGUCCGCCGGGUAAAUAAGGGAUGCCCGCUGUGGGAAAUAUAGUGUCAGCGCCCAAGGAAAAGCGUAAACCAUCCCACCUGGGGAGUACGCCGGCAACGGUGAAACUCAAAGAAAUUGACGGGGGCCCGCACAAGCGGAGGAACAUGUGGUUUAAUUCGAUGAUACGCGAGGACCUUUACCCGGGCUUGAACUGCACAGGACUGAUACAGAGAUGUUGAUUCCCUUCGGGGCCUGUGCGGAGGUGCUGCAUGGUUGUCGUCAGCUCGUGCCGUGAGGUGUCGGCUUAAGUGCCAUAACGAGCGCAACCCCUUUCGUCAGUUGCCAUCAGGUUCUGCUGGGCACUCUGGCGACACUGCCACCGUAAGGUGCGAGGAAGGUGGGGAUGACGUCAAAUCAGCACGGCCCUUACGUCCGGGGCUACACACGUGUUACAAUGGCAGGUACAGAGGGCCGGCGCCUGGCAACAUGCGUCCAAUCCUUAAAGCCUGCCUCAGUUCGGAUUGGGGUCUGCAACCCGACCCCAUGAAGCUGGAUUCGCUAGUAAUCGCGCAUCAGCCAUGGCGCGGUGAAUACGUUCCCGGGCCUUGCACACACCGCCCGUCAAG